UGUCGAGCUCGAUGCGUGUAUUGUGCCACUACCACUACAGCAAUGACGAUUGAUGCAAGUCACCAAGCCGGAACGUAAACGAACGCGUCUGUGUGCACCGACACAUAUAAGGCAGAGUAAACAAAAUAAACACAUUAAAAUUUAAAACGACAAAUGUCUUCAUUAGCAUGACCUAGAUAAACAAUUUAUGGUGGUUUAAUGAUUAAAUGGAAUGAAAAUUGCUUGUUAUACAUGGGCUGAGUUACAGCGUUACAGGUUAUACCAAAUGGCACGACUACUGUUAACCCCAUUUUAAUAUUUGCAUUUCUUCGCUGAAUUUUCUAUUUAUUGCGACGCAAUAUGCAAUAUCUCAUAAAAUAUUUAUCCUACAACCGGCGAUCAUGAUCGAUUUUGUAGUAAAUCACUUUUGUUUGAAUGCUUUUCAAACAGAAUGUUGUUUCCCAUAGAAAAACAUCGAAGUUUAUGUGUAUUAAGUAUACAUAUGUUACUUUAUUAUAUUUUCAAAUGCA
Molecule: long non-coding RNA, 509 nt
Organism: Dalotia coriaria
Lineage: Eukaryota; Metazoa; Arthropoda; Insecta; Coleoptera; Staphylinidae
Exons: 2
Source: RefSeq, a predicted model, not a curated record